UACGUAGGGUGCGAGCGUUGUCCGGAAUUACUGGGCGUAAAGAGCUCGUAGGUGGUUUGUCGCGUUUGUCCGUGAAAUUCCCUGGCUUAACUGGGGGGCGUGCGGGCGAUACGGGCAGACUGGAGUACUGCAGGGGGAGACUGGAAUUCCUGGUGUAGCGGUGAAAUGCGCAGAUAUCAGGAGGAACACCGGUGGCGAAGGCGGGGUCUC
Molecule: ribosomal RNA, 210 nt
Filed under: uncultured bacterium
Lineage: Bacteria
Description: partial 16S ribosomal RNA
Rfam family: Bacterial small subunit ribosomal RNA
Source: RNAcentral